GUCCGGGCGCUCGGUCGGCGGGGCGAGCACACCGAUCCCGUCGGUGUGCGACACGACCUCGGGGUGCAGGCUCAGUUCGAGCGGCAGCCCGGAUCC
This 96-nucleotide transfer RNA is filed under the name Pseudonocardia asaccharolytica DSM 44247 = NBRC 16224. Its description in RNAcentral is "tRNA-Gly". Lineage: Bacteria; Bacillati; Actinomycetota; Actinomycetes; Pseudonocardiales; Pseudonocardiaceae. The record is from RNAcentral.